This 68-nucleotide non-coding RNA is filed under the name Streptomyces tsukubensis. The record is from RNAcentral. Lineage: Bacteria; Bacillati; Actinomycetota; Actinomycetes; Kitasatosporales; Streptomycetaceae.
GGGAAGCCGGUGCGAAUCCGGCGCUGACCCGCAACCGUGAGCCGCCCCGCGCGGCGAGCCGGACUGCC